CAGGGAGACAACAAAAUGUUUAAUAUUAUUAUUUUGUCACCUUAGGUCGAUCGGUAUCUCACGUUUUUAAUUUAUUAAGAAUUUCAUUUCCUAAGUUUUUCUAGGUCACACCCAUUAUUUUUCCUGGGCCAUUAGCUCAGGUGGUUAGAGCGCACCCCUGAUAAGGGUGAGGUCCCUGGUUCAAGUCCAGGAUGGCCCAUAUCUCUAUGUUGGGGGUAUAGCUCAGUUGGUAGAGCGCCUGCUUUGCAAGCAGGAUGUCAGCGGUUCGAGUCCGCUUACCUCCACUGAUUACCACCUCUUCCAUAUUCGGUAGAAAGGAAAUUUUUUGAGUUGUGAUCAAAUUCUGAAAGAAUCUAGCUUCCUAAUGAAAUCAUUAAGAUGCUGGACUCAUUGAAUUAAUUUCAUUGUUUUCAGAGAACCUUGACAACUGCAUAGAUUAUUUUUAAAGACAAUAAGCAUCUUUAAUGAUGCAGAUUUAUUAUUUGUGCGAAUGCAUUAAUAACAAUUCUAUUAAGCUGAUGCUUCAAUUUUUUGAAGUUAUU
RNAcentral lists this transfer RNA (542 nucleotides) under uncultured cyanobacterium. RNAcentral describes it as "partial contains 16S ribosomal RNA, 16S-23S ribosomal RNA intergenic spacer, and 23S ribosomal RNA". The stretch from base 212 to 284 matches the Rfam family "tRNA". Lineage: Bacteria; Bacillati; Cyanobacteriota. The record is from RNAcentral.